AGAGUUUGAUCAUGGCUCAGGAUAAACGCUGGCGGCGUGCUUCAGGCAUGCAAGUCGAACGGACACUACGGUGUCAGUGGCGGACGGGUGAGUAACACGUAAGUAACCUGCCCAGAAGUGGGGAAUAACCCGCCGAAAGGCGAGCUAAUACCGCAUAUGAUGGCUUUUCUCUGGAGAGGUCAUUAAAGGCUUAGGUCGCUUCUGGAGGGGCUUGCGGCUGAUUAGCUAGUUGGUGGGGUAAUGGCCUACCAAGGCUACGAUCGGUAGCUGGUCUGAGAGGACGGACAGCCACACGGGGACUGAGAUACGGCCCCGACUCCUACGGGAGGCAGCAGCUAGGAAUCUUGGGAAUGGGCGAAAGCCUGACCCAGCAACGCCGCGUGGGCGAUGAAGGCCUUCGGGUUGUAAAGCCCUUUUGCGGGGGAAGAUGAUGACGGUACCCCGCGAAUAAGCCACGGCUAACUACGUGCCAGCAGCCGCGGUAAUACGUAGGUGGCAAGCGUUGUCCGGAUUUACUGGGCGUAAAGGGCGUGCAGGCGGCCUGUUAAGUCUAGGGUGAAAGCUCCCGGCUCAACUGGGAGAGGUCCUUGGAUACUGGCAGGCUUGAGGGAGGCAGAGGAAAGUGGAAUUCCCGGUGUAGUGGUGAUAUGCGUAGAUAUCGGGAGGAACACCAGUGGCGAAGGCGGCUUUCUGGGCCUUACCUGACGCUGAGACGCGAAAGCGUGGGGAGCGAACCGGAUUAGAUACCCUGGUAGUCC
Molecule: ribosomal RNA, 758 nt
Filed under: uncultured soil bacterium
Lineage: Bacteria
Description: bacterial SSU rRNA
Rfam family: Bacterial small subunit ribosomal RNA
Source: RNAcentral